This 358-nucleotide long non-coding RNA is filed under the name Parus major (Great Tit). RNAcentral's name for it is "lncRNA (ENSPMJG00000005680.1)". The record is from RNAcentral. Lineage: Eukaryota; Metazoa; Chordata; Aves; Passeriformes; Paridae.
CCCUGGGGAUCCCACAUCACCUCUCCUGCAAAUGCAACAAAACCAGUUCUCUGGCUGCUCAGUGAUGGUGGAGAGCUGCAUUUCCUUGUGUGGGAAGGAUAAACCUCUCCUAAACUCAGCCUGGGGGUCGCUGGCUCCAGGACUUGAGCUCCUGGGUGAGAGAAGGAUCCAGCUUGACCAAAGCCACAUGGACAGAGACAGCUGAUCACAUCACCCUGGAACAAAGCUCCUCUGGCAGUGCAGUGCAAGUGUGACAUCCUUCAUCUGCCCCCAGCUGCAUUUACUGGAGCGCAGUGAUGCUCUUCAGAUGCGCUCCAGGGCUCUCCUAAGUGGCACAUUCCUCCUGUGCCUGUUCCCU